This 344-nucleotide unclassified non-coding RNA is filed under the name soil metagenome. Its description in RNAcentral is "partial contains 5.8S ribosomal RNA, internal transcribed spacer 2, and large subunit ribosomal RNA". The stretch from base 1 to 120 matches the Rfam family "5.8S ribosomal RNA", at positions 35 to 154 of the family's 154-position model. The record is from RNAcentral.
GAUGAAGAACGCAGCGAAAUGCGAUAAGUAAUGUGAAUUGCAGAAUUCAGUGAAUCAUCGAAUCUUUGAACGCACAUUGCGCCCGCCAGUAUUCUGGCGGGCAUGCCUGUUCGAGCGUCAUUUCAACCCUCAAGCCCCUGGGCUUGGUGUUGGGGAUCGGCGGGCCCUCGCGGCGCGCCGUCCCCUAAAUCUAGUGGCGGUCUCGCUGUAGCUUCCUCUGCGUAGUAGCAACACUCGCACUGGAUCGCAGCGCGGCCACGCCGUUAAACCCCCCACUUCUGAAAGUUUGACCUCGGAUCAGGUAGGAAUACCCGCUGAACUUAAGCAUAUCAAUAAGCGGAGGA